GCCUAGCCUUAAACAUCGAUGGCACCAUCCGCCAGGGAACUACGAGCAUUAGCUUAAAACCCAAAGGACUUGGCGGUGCUUUAGAUCCACCUAGAGGAGCCUGUUCUAGAACCGAUAACCCCCGUUAAACCUCACCUUUCCUUGCCCGCCUAUAUACCACCGUCGUCAGCUUAUCCUGUGAAGGCCUUUUAAUAAGCAAAAUUGGCAAAGCCCAAAACGUCAGGUCGAGGUGUAGCGUACGGAAAGGGAAGCAAUGGGCUACAUUACCUCGGUUAUUGAAAAAAGGAGGAUUUAGUAGUAAGAGAAGA
This 308-nucleotide ribosomal RNA is filed under the name Balistes capriscus (grey triggerfish). RNAcentral describes it as "partial 12S ribosomal RNA". It matches the Rfam family "Bacterial small subunit ribosomal RNA", at positions 794 to 1348 of the family's 1533-position model. Lineage: Eukaryota; Metazoa; Chordata; Actinopteri; Tetraodontiformes; Balistidae. The record is from RNAcentral.